GAUGAACGCUGGCGGCGUGCUUAACACAUUCAAGUCGAACGGAGUUAUUUGAAUUAAUCCUUCGGGAAGCGUCCAGAUAACUUAGUGGCGAACGGGUGAGUAACGCGUGAGGAACCUGCCUCUCAGUGGGGGACAACAGUUGGAAACGACUGCUAAUACCGCAUAAUGUUCUUUGACCGCAUGGUUUUAGAACCAAAGAUUUAUUGCUGAGAGAUGGCCUCGCGUCUGAUUAGCUAGUUGGUGGGGUAACGGCCCACCAAGGCGACGAUCAGUAGCCGGUCUGAGAGGAUGAACGGCCACAUUGGGACUGAGAUACGGCCCAGACUCCUACGGGAGGCAGCAGUGGGGAAUAUUGCACAAUGGAGGAAACUCUGAUGCAGCGAUGCCGCGUGAGGGAAGAAGGUUUUCGGAUUGUAAACCUCUGUCUUCAGGGACGAUAAUGACGGUACCUGAGGAGGAAGCUCCGGCUAACUACGUG
RNAcentral lists this ribosomal RNA (478 nucleotides) under uncultured bacterium. RNAcentral's name for it is "bacterial SSU rRNA". It matches the Rfam family "Bacterial small subunit ribosomal RNA", at positions 28 to 507 of the family's 1533-position model. The record is from RNAcentral.